GCUCGUGUCGUGAGAUGUUGGGUUAAGUCCCGUAACGAGCGCAACCCUUGUCCUUAGUUACCAGCACGUUAUGGUGGGCACUCUAAGGAGACUGCCGGUGACAAACCGGAGGAAGGUGGGGAUGACGUCAAGUCAUCAUGGCCCUUACGGCCUGGGCUACACACGUGCUACAAUGGUCGGUACAAAGGGUUGCCAAGCCGCGAGGUGGAGCUAAUCCCAUAAAACCGAUCGUAGUCCGGAUCGCAGUCUGCAACUCGACUGCGUGAAGUCGGAAUCGCUAGUAAUCGUGAAUCAGAAUGUCACGGUGAAUACGUUCCCGGGCCUU
This 325-nucleotide ribosomal RNA is filed under the name uncultured Pseudomonas sp. RNAcentral's name for it is "bacterial SSU rRNA". It matches the Rfam family "Bacterial small subunit ribosomal RNA", at positions 1058 to 1382 of the family's 1533-position model. Lineage: Bacteria; Pseudomonadati; Pseudomonadota; Gammaproteobacteria; Pseudomonadales; Pseudomonadaceae. The record is from RNAcentral.